GGUUGAUCCUGCCAGUAGUCAUAUGCUUGUCUCAAAGACUAAGCCAUGCAUGUCCAAGUACAAUUAUUUCGUACAGAGAAACUGCAUACAGCUCAUUAUAUCAGUAACGAUUUAUUUGAAAGUACCUUACUAGAUGGAUAACCGUAGUAAUUCUAGAGCUAAUACAUGAAGAACAAUUCCGACUCGGGCAACUGGCAAGGAAUGUAUUUAUUAGAUAAAAAAUCAAUUUCUCAAUUGGUGACUCAUAAUAACUAAUCGAAUCGCACCUAAAAGUGGCGAUAGUUCAUUCAAAU
Molecule: ribosomal RNA, 293 nt
Filed under: uncultured eukaryote
Lineage: Eukaryota
Description: partial 18S ribosomal RNA
Rfam family: Eukaryotic small subunit ribosomal RNA
Source: RNAcentral